GACGAACGCUGGCGGCGUGCCUAAUACAUGCAAGUGGGACGCAAGGAAACACACUGUGCUUGCACACCGUGUUUUCUUGAGUCGCGAACGGGUGAGUAACGCGUAGGUAACCUGCCUAUUAGCGGGGGAUAACUAUUGGAAACGAUAGCUAAUACCGCAUAAUAUUAAUUAUUGCAUGAUAAUUGAUUGAAAGAUGCAAGCGCAUCACUAGUAGAUGGACCUGCGUUGUAUUAGCUAGUUGGUAAGGUAAGAGCUUACCAAGGCGACGAUACAUAGCCGACCUGAGAGGGUGAUCGGCCACACUGGGACUGAGACACGGCCCAGACUCCUACGGGAGGCAGCAGUAGGGAAUCUUAGGCAAUGGACGAAAGUCUGACCGAGCAACGCCGCGUGAGUGAAGAAGGUUUUCGGAUCGUAAAGCUCUGUUGUAAGUCAAGAACGUGUGUGAGAGUGGAAAGUUCACACAGUGACGGUAGCUGACCAGAAAGGGACGGCUAACUACGUG
RNAcentral lists this ribosomal RNA (505 nucleotides) under uncultured bacterium. Its description in RNAcentral is "partial 16S ribosomal RNA". It matches the Rfam family "Bacterial small subunit ribosomal RNA", at positions 28 to 507 of the family's 1533-position model. The record is from RNAcentral.